This 1078-nucleotide long non-coding RNA is filed under the name Gossypium barbadense (sea-island cotton). Its description in RNAcentral is "long non-coding RNA (GBAR_LNC016325)". Lineage: Eukaryota; Viridiplantae; Streptophyta; Magnoliopsida; Malvales; Malvaceae. The record is from RNAcentral.
AGCCAAAUAGUAUAGUAUAGAGAAUGAAAGCAGAAAUAUAAAAUACAAUGUAGGGUGGCUAGGAGUCGUAGAGUAUUUGCUUCUUGUUUGUAAGGAUGUACAAUUAUUUAUUUACAUAUAUACUUUCUCUUGCUUCAAAAGAAAAGAGAGAAUAGAGCAUUGAUAUUGGCUAGUUGAUAGUGUUAAUUCAGAUGCAGGUAACUUUCUGGCGCUCUUGUCUGGUGUCAUGGUUUGUGGAGGCAAAGCAAAGACUUUUUUAUAUUAUAUAUAUAGAUAAACCGAUGAAUAUGCUUCUGUAGCUAUAUAUAAAAGAAGACAUUAAUGAUUUGAUGUGAGAGAGACGUACAAUGACCUAAUCCUCUGCUGGGGAGUAGUGACUCAAACUCACACUCACUUCACUACACCCCAUACAACAUUAUACUAUGUUGCUUUUACACUGUAAAUUUGCAUAUUCUUUUCUUAAAGCUCUGAUAAACUCACAGAAUCCCAUAUGCCAAAAAAAGAGAGUCCUUUUUCCCCUGUCUGCAUCAUAGAUAGAGAGUGAGUGACCUUGUGGAGACCACUCUAGCUAUUCUCAUUUGCCAUCAUCAUCACUCAUCAGUUAAAUCACCCCCCCCAUUGAUGCUAAAAGUAACUUUUCAAAUUUCAUAGGCAAAAUCCUGCAGAUAAUGUGAGUAUUUUCCAUUUCAGUGAGACUUGAGAUGAGGCAAAUUAAUCGCCUAAGAUAGCUCCUCAAGCAUAUAUCCACCACUCCUUCAACUUUUGCUAUAAUUUUCUGACAUAUACAUGGCCAUGUACGUAUUCCCUCCUCUAACUUUAGCCAUUCAUCAUUGGACCCGCUAAGAGAGGAUGGGAAGUGGGACUGAAUAAAAACAUCAUCACUACAUUGCACAUACAUACAUACAUGCAUGUGCUACAAUCCUACUAUCCGCAACCGCAAAAUACCUAUAAAACAGAACAAACAUACAAUACAAAGAGUAAAUCUCGUUCUGCAAGUCUGUAUUGGAUUGUAUACAUGAUGAAAAUAAACAAGAAACACAGCAUAGGUGUAGACUGUAGAGAGUAAUAAUUAAUCCAA